AUAUUCCCCAAACAUCUGUAAUCUUAGCAGGAAAGCUUGUCUUCUUAGGUAUAUAAGGAUUCCCAUCAUAUUCUCACCCAGCAGAACAAAAGCAGAAUGGAUAUGUUCCUGAGUUUAAGAAAAGCUAGGUGAGUGUAUAUUCUGAGAAUUGAAGGACUGCACAUCCAUAUAGCAGAGAGGGAUGAUUACCAUGUAGGAGCUGGGAGGAAGAAUCUGAGAAACAGGCUUCUGAGUGGAAAGCUGAGGGGGAGAUUGGUUGUGUAACCACUAAGAGGAAGGACAAGGCACUGCCUACAAGCCAGAUACAAGAUGAUAUUCUUUGAGGAGAAUCAGUGGUAAUCAGAGACAAACAGGAAAAGGAUAUGCACAUACCCAUAUACCCACAUGAAACAGAUGGC
RNAcentral lists this long non-coding RNA (398 nucleotides) under Gallus gallus (chicken). RNAcentral's name for it is "long non-coding RNA NONGGAT001296". Lineage: Eukaryota; Metazoa; Chordata; Aves; Galliformes; Phasianidae. The record is from RNAcentral.